Long non-coding RNA from Gadus morhua (Atlantic cod), 586 nucleotides. RefSeq lists it as uncharacterized. NCBI's taxonomy places the organism in Eukaryota, Metazoa, Chordata, Actinopteri, Gadiformes, Gadidae. The record is from RefSeq and is a predicted model, not a curated record. The transcript has 4 exons.
GCAACAGACGCGUGCAUCAUCGGCUGUACCUUACAGAUAUCAGCUGUUAUCCCUGUCUAGCAUCAGUCCCCAGGCGCUAUGCUAACAGUCUCCUCUACAAGCCAAUUUACAAGAAUUCCGGUCAUGUUUACAUUAGCCCUCUCCCAGUGCAUGAAAAGAGCAGGCGCGAGCCGCGGAAUAGAAAUGAGCAAAUAUGAAUAAUUCAAUCCUUCCGGCCAUUAACACGUUUCCCUCGAACAAAGUGAUAAUAGGUUAUCAUCUGUGAAAUGGAAAUUUCAUAAACCAGGCCAGGAGAAGACCGUCUCCGGUUACACCAGAGGAAAUUAAUUUCACAGCACAUCUGCUUCGCCAGAGCCCCGACCCUCUAACGCUAAGGGGAGUGCCGCAAAGCUCUGCUCCUCCAUCAAAAGCCUUACAGCCACGGAGGCCCGGAGGAUCAUCAACAAUGACAGCAUCAAAAACAAGCGCUUGCUGUUUUGGGGGACGAAACAAUUGCUUCUCAGAAAAGAAUCAUCAAAAUGCCUUUUUGAGUCCUGCGGGGAGGAAGAAGUGCAGCUUCGGGCCCUAGUCACGGUGGCCUCAGAGA